Molecule: ribosomal RNA, 403 nt
Filed under: uncultured bacterium
Lineage: Bacteria
Description: partial 16S ribosomal RNA
Rfam family: Bacterial small subunit ribosomal RNA
Source: RNAcentral
AUUGAACGCUGGCGGCAGGCCUAACACAUGCAAGUCGAGCGAGCGGCGGACGGGUGAGUAAUGUAUGGGGACUGCCCGGUAGAGGGGGCUAACUACUGGAAACGGUGGCUAAUACCGCAUACUAUCGGAUAACCCAUAGUGGAUUAGCUAGUAGGUGGGGUAAAGGCUCACCUAGGCGACGAUCUAUAGCUGGUCUGAGAGGUUGAUCGGCCACACUGGGACUGAGAACCGGCCCAGACUCCUACGGAGGCAGCAGUAGGGAAUAUUGCACAAUGGACGAAAGCCUGAUGCAGCCAUGCCGCGUGAGUGAAGAAGGCCUUAGGGUUGUAAAGCACUUUCAGCGGGGAAGCGUUACCCACAGAGGAAGCACCGGCUAACUCCGUGCCAGCAGCCGCGGUAAUUC